Molecule: ribosomal RNA, 253 nt
Filed under: uncultured bacterium
Lineage: Bacteria
Description: partial 16S ribosomal RNA
Rfam family: Bacterial small subunit ribosomal RNA
Source: RNAcentral
UACGGGGUGGGCAAGCGUUGUUCGGAAUUACUGGGCGUAAAGGGCUCGUAGGUGGCCAACUAAGUCAGACGUGAAAUCCCUCAGCUUAACUGGGGAACUGCGUCUGAUACUGGAUGGCUUGAGUUUGGGAGAGGGAUGCGGAAUUCCAGGUGUAGCGGUGAAAUGCGUAGAUAUCUGGAGGAACACCGGUGGCGAAGGCGGCAUCCUGGACCAACACUGACACUGAGGAGCGAAAGCCAGGGGAGCAAACGGG